Molecule: ribosomal RNA, 546 nt
Filed under: uncultured bacterium
Lineage: Bacteria
Description: bacterial SSU rRNA
Rfam family: Bacterial small subunit ribosomal RNA
Source: RNAcentral
GGGGAAUAUUGCGCAAUGGGGGCAACCCUGACGCAGCCAUGCCGCGUGAAUGAGGAAGGCCUUCGGGUUGUAAAGUUCUUUCGGUGACGAGGAAGGUUGUUGUGUUAAUAGCGCAACAAAUUAACGUUAAUCACAGAAGAAGCACCGGCUAACUCCGUGCCAGCAGCCGCGGUAAUACGGAGGGUGCGAGCGUUAAUCGGAAUAACUGGGCGUAAAGGGCACGCAGGCGGCUAUUUAAGUGAGGUGUGAAAUCCCCGGGCUUAACCUGGGAAUUGCAUUUCAGACUGGGUAGCUAGAGUACUUUAGGGAGGGGUAGAAUUCCACGUGUAGCGGUGAAAUGCGUAGAGAUGUGGAGGAAUACCGAAGGCGAAGGCAGCCCCUUGGGAAUGUACUGACGCUCAUGUGCGAAAGCGUGGGGAGCAAACAGGAUUAGAUACCCUGGUAGUCCACGCUGUAAACGCUGUCGAUUUGGGGAUUGGGCUUUAAGCUUGGUGCCCGUAGCUAACGUGAUAAAUCGACCGCCUGGGGAGUACGGCCGCAAGGUUA